This 68-nucleotide transfer RNA is filed under the name Takydromus wolteri (mountain grass lizard). Its description in RNAcentral is "tRNA-Tyr". The record is from RNAcentral. Lineage: Eukaryota; Metazoa; Chordata; Lepidosauria; Squamata; Lacertidae.
UGGUAGCAGUGGACUUUGUGCCACGUAUGGAGAUUUACAGCCUCCCACCUAUCCUCGGUCAUCCUACC